AUACGUAGGGGGCAAGCGUUGUCCGGAAUUACUGGGCGUAAAGCGCGCGUAGGCGGUUUGGUCAGUCGGAUGUGAAAGCCCCAGGCUCAACCUGGGAAUGGCAUUCGAUACUGCCUGACUAGAGUAUGGUAGAGGGAAGUGGAAUUUCCGGUGUAGCGGUGAAAUGCGUAGAUAUCGGAAGGAACACCAGUGGCGAAGGCGGCUUCCUGGACCAAUACUGACACUGAGGCGCGAAAGCGUGGGGAGCAAACAGGAUUAGAAACCCCGGUAGUCC
RNAcentral lists this ribosomal RNA (274 nucleotides) under uncultured bacterium. Its description in RNAcentral is "partial 16S ribosomal RNA". It matches the Rfam family "Bacterial small subunit ribosomal RNA", at positions 523 to 796 of the family's 1533-position model. The record is from RNAcentral.